UUCCUUUUGCUUUCUCUCCCUCAAAGGCUUCUGGCAACAAUGACAUUCGAACGUAAUUUGUUGUAUUCACGUAUGUCUGAGGCCUUAGGGGAGAGUACGUGAAAG
Non-coding RNA from Cucumis melo (muskmelon), 105 nucleotides. NCBI's taxonomy places the organism in Eukaryota, Viridiplantae, Streptophyta, Magnoliopsida, Cucurbitales, Cucurbitaceae. The record is from RefSeq and is marked provisional.